CCAGAAUAUAAAACGAUUUUCUCUGGAAAGUGGAGUCUUCGAGUUUUCCGCUCCAAAGCAAGCAGAGGAGAGAGAGAGAGAUAGGGAGAGAGGUGAAACCAGCGUCUAUCCAUGACUGAAGCGAUCCAGAAAUGAUUCAAUGUUCUGAGAGAACUCAUCUGGUGGCCACACAUUUCAUUGCAUGGCCUACCAUGCAAGAACCGCACCGGUUUGAUUGUAGAAGAUGUGCAUUGGAAGGCUACGGUAUUUCGAAUUGGGUGAUUUUGAGGAUGUCCGCAAACCAUUGUGGGGCUUAUUAAGCGAACGGAGGAGGAGAAGACUUCGUGGGAAGAACGCUACAGAAAACUGGAGAAUGUAUGUAUUUUGAUGACUAGGAAAUCACAAAUUCCAAAUCCCACAUUUGAAAAAGAAAAUGAAUGGCACAUUUGCAUGAGCAGUGGGCUUGGAUAGGACCAUUUUCGUGUCGUGGGGCCUACAAUGAACUUGAUUUCAAUGCGUAGGCAGUGGGCCUGGAUAGGGCAGGGCCAGGGUUGGCCCCCUAAGUCCUGGUGAUGGCCUUGUCCUUAAUGGAGCUUGGUCUAGUCCCCUAGCUCUGGCACUGACCCUACAGAGUAGGGCUGGGCUAGAUUUAAGAUGGUUUCAGAUAGUCUUUUUCCUCUCUUCCUCUUAUGGUUGAGUCCCAUCAAAUAAAAGGUUUGGAUUGUUGAAACA
This is a long non-coding RNA of Magnolia sinica, 711 nucleotides long. RefSeq lists it as uncharacterized. The transcript is spliced from 2 exons. The record is from RefSeq and is a predicted model, not a curated record. NCBI's taxonomy places the organism in Eukaryota, Viridiplantae, Streptophyta, Magnoliopsida, Magnoliales, Magnoliaceae.